CCUCCUCUGGCUUACGGCGGAACCGUGGAAUGAUGACAUCAGCGCGUGACCGUGUGCCCGCUCUGCGCGUGAGCUGAUCAAUCGCCUCUCAGUUGACCCAGUAACCUCCCCUCCACCCGCCCAGUGCUCCCAGUGCUCCCAGUCCGGAUGCUGGCGGCCUCCAUCCAGGUCAGCGGGGAGCCGCUUUCGGCGGCCGAGGUUCAGGAUAUCUGCGACCGGCUGCGGGAGGACGGGGUCCGGCUGCUGUCGGUCCGCGGCUGCCGGCUGUCGGACCGGGACUUCGGCCGGGUCUGCCGCGGCGUGGCCGCCUCGCGCUGCCUGGCACAGCUCAACCUCAACCUGGGCGUGGUCUCCAGCAUCGGCCGCGCGCGCCACCUGGCGGACGCCUUGGCGGCCAACCGUUCCCUGCAGACUCUGUUCCUCCACGGCAGCCCGCUGCUGGACGCCGGCCUGGAGGCCCUGAACCCGGCACUGGCCGCCCACCCGGCGCUGGUCUGCCUGGACCUGGGCGACUGCCUGCUGGGGGACGCGGCGCUGGCGCUGAUCUGCGGGAUGCUUCCGCCGGACGGAGCCAAGUCAGGACUCAGAGAGCUGACUCUCAGCGCCAAUCCGCGGAUCACAACCAAGGCCUGGGCCCGGUUCUCGGUAGCAGUGGCUCACAGCUCCCAGCUCCGGGUCCUCAACCUGGACUACAACCCACUGGGGGACCAGAUUGCGGCCAUGCUAGCAGUUGCCGUGGCGUCCAGUAGAACCCUGGAGGUUCUGGACCUGGAGGGAACCGGACUGACCAACCAGUCGGCGCAGGUGUUCCUGGACAUGGUGGAGAACUACCCCACCUGCCUUCGGGUUCUGGUUCUGGCCGAGAAUGAAGUGAGUUCGGAGCUCCAGCAGCAGAUCAGCGACCUGCUGUCUGAAGGGGAGGAGGACGGCCGGGAGGCUCCGCCCCCUCCGCCAGGCCACGCCCCCAGCAGCGCCCUGCAGCCAAUCAGAGAGAAGCCCCUCCCCUGGCUCCCCCACAGCAACUCCAGUCUGCCCACGGUCAUGCUGACAUCAGGAGUAGGUGAGAGCCUAUUGGCUGAAGCUGAGAUAUGACCAUGCCCACUUCCUGCUAGAGUGUUGUCACUUCCUGGACUGAAUGUUCGUCUGCUCUGAUCUGAUUGGUCCAGAACAAGAACAGAGUGAAACAGAUUUAUUGAAGACAGACCGAAUCGGUUCUGGUUUUGUUCAGAGCAAAGUUCUGAUGACUUCUGGACCGCCGUCAUUCAGCCGAUAAGAGGAAAAACGAGCUCAUUCUUCAGUUGUAUUUUCACCAUGUUGUCCUUUCACUUCUAAAUGCCACAGUUUAAAGAUUUAGUUAGCAAACUUGCUAACUAAAUCUUUAUUUUGUAAGCUAGCGAUAUUUAGCUUUGUAACUAUUUAGUUUGAAAUGGUGACAUUUAUAAAUGAAUAAACAUUGAAAUGAA
This is an RNA transcript of Poecilia latipinna (sailfin molly), 1463 nucleotides long. It is a transcript of the gene named leucine rich repeat containing 73, with no coding region annotated. The transcript has 8 exons. Lineage: Eukaryota; Metazoa; Chordata; Actinopteri; Cyprinodontiformes; Poeciliidae. The record is from RefSeq and is a predicted model, not a curated record.